This 63-nucleotide transfer RNA is filed under the name Heterocephalus glaber (naked mole-rat). It matches the Rfam family "tRNA", at positions 5 to 66 of the family's 71-position model. Rfam says of the family: Transfer RNA (tRNA) molecules are approximately 80 nucleotides in length. Their secondary structure includes four short double-helical elements and three loops (D, anti-codon, and T loops). Lineage: Eukaryota; Metazoa; Chordata; Mammalia; Rodentia; Bathyergidae. The record is from Rfam by way of RNAcentral.
GUGUGGCUUAGUGUUAAAGCACUUGCCUAGCAAGCAUGGGGCCCUGGGUUCCAAUCCCAGCAC